RNAcentral lists this unclassified non-coding RNA (893 nucleotides) under Hevea brasiliensis (rubber tree). The record is from RNAcentral. Lineage: Eukaryota; Viridiplantae; Streptophyta; Magnoliopsida; Malpighiales; Euphorbiaceae.
GACGGUUGGAAUGUCCAUUGAUCCCAAGCUUCUUCUUUCAAACUUUCCAGUGAUUAUGGGCUCAUUGGGACUUCUAUUAGGUGGCAAGACUAUCUUGGUUGCAUUAAUUGGUAAACUGUUUGGUAUUUCAAUUGUAUCGGCAGUAAGAGUGGGUCUCCUACUUGCUCCGGGUGGAGAGUUUGCCUUCGUAGCCUUUGGUGAAGCUGUCAAUCAGGGAAUAAUGUCUCCUGAAUUGUCAUCUCUGCUGUUUCUUGUGGUUGGAAUUUCAAUGGCUCUCACACCAUAUCUAGCUGCUGGAGGUCAAUUAAUAGCAUCUCGUUUUGAGCUGCAAGAUGUGCGAAGUUUAUUGCCUGAUGAAAGUGAGACAGAUGAUUUGCAAGAUCAUAUCAUUAUUUGUGGAUUUGGUCGCGUUGGCCAGAUCAUUGCCCAACUUCUCUCCGAGCGACUGAUUCCAUUUGUUGCACUUGAUGUGCGAAGUGAGCGUGUUGCAGUUGGUCGUGCACUUGAUCUUCCUGUAUACUUUGGUGAUGCUGGUAGCCGAGAGGUUCUUCAUAAAGUUGGAGCUGAAAGAGCAUGUGCUGCCGCAAUAACAUUAGACACUCCUGGUGCAAAUUACAGAACUGUUUGGGCCUUGAACAAGUACUUUCCCAAUGUGAAAACAUUUGUACGUGCUCAUGAUGUGGAUCAUGGCCUUAAUUUAGAGAAGGCUGGAGCAACAGCGGUUGUGCCUGAGACCUUGGAACCAAGCCUGCAGUUGGCUGCUGCUGUCCUUGCACAAGCUAAGCUGCCAAUGUCGGAGAUAGCAGCAACAAUCAACGAGUUCAGGUCCCGCCACCUCUCUGAGCUUACUGAGCUAUGUGAAACUAGCGGAAGUUCUCUAGGCUAUGGUUUUU